RNAcentral lists this ribosomal RNA (253 nucleotides) under uncultured bacterium. RNAcentral's name for it is "partial 16S ribosomal RNA". It matches the Rfam family "Bacterial small subunit ribosomal RNA", at positions 524 to 776 of the family's 1533-position model. The record is from RNAcentral.
UACGGGGGGGGCAAGCGUUGUUCGGAAUUACUGGGCGUAAAGGGCGCGUAGGCGGUUCGAUAAGUCCCGUGUGAAAGCCCCCGGCUCAACUGGGGAACUGCACGGGAAACUGACGGACUUGAGUUCGGGAGAGGGAAGCGGAAUUCCGGGUGUAGCGGUGAAAUGCGUAGAUAUCCGGAGGAACACCGGUGGCGAAGGCGGCUUCCUGGACCGACACUGACGCUGAGGCGCGAAAGCUAGGGGAGCAAACGGG